AUUGAACGCUGGCGGAAUGCUUUACACAUGCAAGUCGAACGGCAGCACGGACUUCGGUCUGGUGGCGAGUGGCGAACGGGUGAGUAAUGUAUCGGAACGUGCCCAGUCGUGGGGGAUAACGUAGUGAAAAUUACGCUAAUACCGCAUACGAGCUAUGGAUGAAAGCGGGGGAUCGCAAGACCUCGCGCGAUUGGAGCGGCCGAUAUCAGAUUCGGUAGUUGGGGGGGUAAAGGCCCACCAAGCCAACGAUCUGUAGCUGGUCUGAGAGGACGACCAGCCACACUGGAACUGAGACACGGUCCAGACUCCUACGGGAGGCAGCAGUGGGGAAUUUUGGACAAUGGGCGAAGGCCUGAUCCAGCCAUUCCGCGUGCAGGAUGAAGGCCCUCGGGUUGUAAACUGCUUUUGUACAGAACGAAAAGGUUUCUACUAAUACUAGGAGCUCAUGACGGUACUGUAAGAAUAAGCACCGGCUAACUACGUGCCAGCCGCCGCAGUAA
This 500-nucleotide ribosomal RNA is filed under the name uncultured bacterium. Its description in RNAcentral is "partial 16S ribosomal RNA". It matches the Rfam family "Bacterial small subunit ribosomal RNA", at positions 30 to 523 of the family's 1533-position model. The record is from RNAcentral.